This 433-nucleotide ribosomal RNA is filed under the name uncultured bacterium. RNAcentral describes it as "partial 16S ribosomal RNA". It matches the Rfam family "Bacterial small subunit ribosomal RNA", at positions 29 to 507 of the family's 1533-position model. The record is from RNAcentral.
AACGAACGCUGGCGGCAUGCCUAACACAUGCAAGUCGAACGAAGGCUUCGGCCUUAGUGGCGCACGGGUGCGUAACGCGUGGGAAUCUGCCCUUUGCUUCGGAAUAACAGUUAGAAAUGACUGCUAAUACCGGAUGAUGUCGCAAGACCAAAGAUUUAUCGGCAAAGGAUGAGCCCGCGUAGGAUUAGCUAGUUGGUGGGGUAAAGGCCUACCAAGGCGACGAUCCUUAGCUGGUCUGAGAGGAUGAUCAGCCACACUGGGACUGAGACACGGCCCAGACUCCUACGGGAAGCAGCAGUGGGGAAUAUUGGACAAUGGGCGAAAGCCUGAUCCAGCAAUGCCGCGUGAGUAAUGAAGGCCUUAGGGUUGUAAAGCUCUUUUACCCGGGAUGAUAAUGACAGUACCGGGAGAAUAAGCUCCGGCUAACUCCGUG